GUGGCUGUAGCUCAGUGGUGAGCACUCGCCUAGCAGGUGUGAAGCACUGGGUUCAAUACUCAGCACCACA
Molecule: transfer RNA, 70 nt
Filed under: Marmota marmota marmota (Alpine marmot)
Lineage: Eukaryota; Metazoa; Chordata; Mammalia; Rodentia; Sciuridae
Also listed under: 1 other name
Rfam family: tRNA
About the family: Transfer RNA (tRNA) molecules are approximately 80 nucleotides in length. Their secondary structure includes four short double-helical elements and three loops (D, anti-codon, and T loops). Further hydrogen bonds mediate the characteristic L-shaped molecular structure. tRNAs have two regions of fundamental functional importance: the anti-codon, which is responsible for specific mRNA codon recognition, and the 3' end, to which the tRNAs corresponding amino acid is attached (by aminoacyl-tRNA synthetases). tRNAs cope with the degeneracy of the genetic code in two manners: having more than one tRNA (with a specific anti-codon) for a particular amino acid; and 'wobble' base-pairing, i.e. permitting non-standard base-pairing at the 3rd anti-codon position.
Source: Rfam by way of RNAcentral